UGGGGAAUAUUGCAUAAUGGGGGAAACCCUGAUGCAGCGACGCCGCGUGAGUGAAGAAGUAUUUCGGUAUGUAAAGCUCUAUCAGCAGGGAAGACAAAGAACCGAAGGUUCUCCGACGGUACCUGACUAAGAAGCCCCGGCUAACUACGUGCCAGCAGCCGCGGUAAUACGUAGGGGGCAAGCGUUAUCCGGAUUUACUGGGUGUAAAGGGUGCGCAGGUGGCAGGGCAAGUCAGAUGUGAAAGCCCGGGGCUCAACCCCGGUACUGCAUUUGAAACUGUCCGGCUGGAGUGCAGGAGAGGUAAGCGGAAUUCCUAGUGUAGCGGUGAAAUGCGUAGAUAUUAGGAGGAACACCAGUGGCGAAGGCGGCUUACUGGACUGUAACUGACACUGAGGCACGAAAGCGUGGGGAGCAAACAGGAUUAGAUACCC
RNAcentral lists this ribosomal RNA (431 nucleotides) under uncultured bacterium. RNAcentral's name for it is "bacterial SSU rRNA". It matches the Rfam family "Bacterial small subunit ribosomal RNA", at positions 355 to 787 of the family's 1533-position model. The record is from RNAcentral.